RNAcentral lists this ribosomal RNA (940 nucleotides) under uncultured Micrococcus sp. RNAcentral describes it as "bacterial SSU rRNA". It matches the Rfam family "Bacterial small subunit ribosomal RNA", at positions 546 to 1484 of the family's 1533-position model. The record is from RNAcentral. Lineage: Bacteria; Bacillati; Actinomycetota; Actinomycetes; Micrococcales; Micrococcaceae.
UGGAUNUUGGGCGUAAGAGCUCGUAGGCGGAUUGUCGCGUCUGUCGUGAAAGUCCGGGGCUUAACCCCGGAUCUGCGGUGGGUAUGGGCAGACUAGAGUGCAAUAGGGGAGACUGGAAUUCCUGGUGUAGCGGUGGAAUGCGCAGAUAUCAGGAGGAACACCGAUGGCGAAGGCAAGUCUCUGGGCUGUUACUGACGCUGAGGAUCGAAAGCAUGGGGAGCGAACAGGAUUAGAUACCCUGGUAGUCCAUGCCGUAAACGUUGAUUGCUAGGUGUGGGGAACAUUCCAUUUUUUCCACGCCGCUACUAACUUAUUAAGUGCCCCGGCUGGGGAGUACGGCCGCAAGGAUAAUACUCAGAGGAAUUGACGGGCGCCCGCACAAGCGGAGGAUGAUGCUUAUUAAUUCGAUGCAACGCGAACAACCUUACCAAGGCUUGACAUGUUCUCGAUCGACAUAUAUAUACGGUUUCCCCUUUGGGGCGGGUUCACAGGUGGUGCAUGGUUGUCGUCUCCUCGUGUCGUGAGAUGUUGGGUUAAGUCCCGCAACGAGCGCCCUCCUCGUUCCAUGUUGCCAGCACUUCGGGUGGGGACUCAUGGGAGACUGCCGGGGUCAACUCGGAGGAAGGUGGGGACGACAUCCAAUCAUCAUGCCCCUUAUGUCUUGGGCUUCACGCAUGCUACAAUGACUACGUACAAUGGGUCGCGAUACUGUGACGUGGAUCUAAUCCCAAAAAGCCAGUCUCAGGUCUGAUUGUGGUCUCCAACUCGAUCCCAUGAAGUCGGACCGGGAGUAAUACGUUCAUCAGCAACUGCUGACGUGAAUACGUUCCCGGGGCUUGUACACAUCUACCCGUCAAGUCACGAAAGUCGGUAACACCCGAAGCCGGUGGCCUAACCCUUGUGGAGGGAGCCGACGAAGAGNGCAAACCCAUUAGACUAA